CCCUUAGAUGUCCUGGGCCGCACGCGCGUUACACUGAUGCAUUCAACGAGCUUAUAACCUUGGCCGAGAGGCCUGGGCAAUCUUGUUAACGUGCAUCGUGAUAGGGAUAGAUUAUUGAAAUUAUUAAUCUUGAACGAGGAAUUCCUAGUAAACGCAGAUCAUCAAUCUGCAUUGAUUACGUCCCUGCCCUUUGUACACACCGCCCGUCGCGCCUACCGAUUGGAUGGUCCGGUGAAGCCUCGGGAUUGUGGUUCUUGCCGCUUUAUUGUAGCGUGACCGCGAGAACUUGUCUAAACCUUAUCAUCUAGAGGAAGGUGAAGUCGUAACA
RNAcentral lists this ribosomal RNA (328 nucleotides) under uncultured eukaryote. RNAcentral describes it as "partial 18S ribosomal RNA". It matches the Rfam family "Eukaryotic small subunit ribosomal RNA", at positions 1470 to 1796 of the family's 1831-position model. The record is from RNAcentral.